RNAcentral lists this ribosomal RNA (497 nucleotides) under uncultured bacterium. RNAcentral's name for it is "partial 16S ribosomal RNA". It matches the Rfam family "Bacterial small subunit ribosomal RNA", at positions 28 to 507 of the family's 1533-position model. The record is from RNAcentral.
GAUGAACGCUGGCGGCGUGCCUAAUACAUGCAAGUCGAGCGAACGGACGAGAAGCUUGCUUCUCUGAUGUUAGCGGCGGACGGGUGAGUAACACGUGGAUAACCUACCUAUAAGACUGGGAUAACUUCGGGAAACCGGAGCUAAUACCGGAUAAUAUUUUGAACCGCAUGGUUCGAAAGUGAAAGACGGUCUUGCUGUCACUUAUAGAUGGAUCCGCGCUGCAUUAGCUAGUUGGUAAGGUAACGGCUUACCAAGGCAACGCUGCAUAGCCGACCUGAGAGGGUGAUCGGCCACACUGGAACAGAAACACGGUCAAGACUCCUACGGGAGGCAGCAGUAGGGGAUCUUCCGCUAUGGGCGGAAGCCUGACGGAGCAACGCCGCGUGAGUGAUGAAGGUCUUCGGAUCGUAAAACUCUGUUAUUAGGGAAGAACAAAUGUGUAAGUAACUGUGCACAUCUUAACGGUACCUAAUCAGAAAGCCACGGCUAACUACGUG